GAUGAACGCUGGCGGCGUGCCUAAUACAUGCAAGUCGAGCGAACGGACGAGAAGCUUGCCUCUCUGAUGUUAGCGGCGGACGGGUGAGUAACACGUGGAUAACCUACCUAUAAGACUGGGAUAACUUCGGGAAACCGGAGCUAAUACCGGAUAAUAUUUUGAACCGCAUGGUUCAAAAGUGAAAGACGGUCUUGCUGUCACUUAUAGAUGGAUUCGCGCUGCAUUAGCUAGUUGGUAAGGUAACGGCUUACCAAGGCAACGAUGCAUAGCCGACCUGAGAGGGUGAUCGGCCACACUGGAACUGAGACACGGUCCAGACUCCUACGGGAGGCAGCAGUAGGGAAUCUUCCGCAAUGGGCGAAAGCCUGACGGAGCAACGCCGCGUGAGUGAUGAAGGUCUUCGGAUCGUAAAACUCUGUUAUUAGGGAAGAACAUAUGUGUAAGUAACUGUGCACAUCUUGACGGUACCUAAUCAGAAAGCCACGGCUAACUACGUG
This 497-nucleotide ribosomal RNA is filed under the name uncultured bacterium. RNAcentral describes it as "partial 16S ribosomal RNA". It matches the Rfam family "Bacterial small subunit ribosomal RNA", at positions 28 to 507 of the family's 1533-position model. The record is from RNAcentral.